Molecule: long non-coding RNA, 485 nt
Organism: Gallus gallus (chicken)
Lineage: Eukaryota; Metazoa; Chordata; Aves; Galliformes; Phasianidae
Source: Ensembl
UAAAAUUUAAGUAUUUGAAAAUAAUAGACAAGUUCUGUCCUUCUGUGUAUAAAGCUGUUACAGCAGGAAAUAUCCAAGUUUUGGCAUUCAGUGACACAGGGAGAAGAGGAAGAAUAGUUUUCUGUGAGCUAAGAUUUUCACAGUGUCCCAGAAUAAUUUUCCAAAAUAGGAAUUAAAAAGAAAGAAGUGCAUUUAAAAUAUUUGCAUUUGAGUACCAGGAGGAACUUCGCUUUGUGGGAAAAAACUCUAUUUGGAUGACCGAAGAAGAAACUUGUUGAAACAUAAAAUAUGACUGGAGGUUUGAAGAAGAAUAAGAGCCCCAGUUAUUUUCUUAAAAAGAAAACAAACAAAAAAGACAACAACACAAGAAAAAUGAUGCUGCUGCGUGCUGGUACUUGUAACAUUAGGUUAAGAGAGUGGUUUUUGCUUCCAUUCCAAGUGGAUCACCACUUUAUCAUACAAUCUGACCUUUUCCUUCAUGUCUG